CCUACGGGAGGCAGCAGUGGGGAAUAUUGCGCAAUGGGCGAAAGCCUGACGCAGCGACGCCGCGUGAGGGAUGAAGGUCUUCGGAUCGUAAACCUCUGUCAGCAGGGAAGAACGGUCACUGUGCUAAUCAGCAGUGAAUUGACGGUACCUGCAAAGGAAGCACCGGCUAACUCCGUGCCAGCAGCCGCGGUAAUACGGAGGGUGCGAGCGUUAAUCGGAAUUACUGGGCGUAAAGCGCUCGUAGGCGGUAUGUCAAGUCAAGGGGGAAAUCCCCUCGCUCAACGUGAGAACUGCCUUUGAAACUGGCAAACUGGAGUGUGUGAGAGGAUAGUGGAAUUCCAGGUGUAGGAGUGAAAUCCGUAGAUAUCUGGAGGAACAUCAGUGGCGAAGGCGACUAUCUGGCACAUAACUGACGCUGAGGGGCGAAAGCGUGGGUAGCAAACAGGAUUAGAUACCCGUGUAGUC
RNAcentral lists this ribosomal RNA (465 nucleotides) under uncultured bacterium. RNAcentral describes it as "partial 16S ribosomal RNA". It matches the Rfam family "Bacterial small subunit ribosomal RNA", at positions 338 to 795 of the family's 1533-position model. The record is from RNAcentral.